CCUCUAACAUGAAGAAGAGAAGUUAGAGGUGACUUUCCUUCAGCAAACAUACGUUUCCAUUAUAAACGCACGCCGCCGCGUCCUCUUGCUCUUUUCGUCGCACGUCCGCCGGCUCGUGUGGUCUGCUCGCGCCGCUGCCAGGUCCAGGAGGCUGCAGGGGACAUCGCGGCGUCUGUGGUGGCGUGAAUCGCGACGGCGUCGACACAAAUUGCAGUGGCGACGACUGGCAUCGGGUGUCGGGCCGAGUACCGGCAACGCGGGGUUUGGCGGCGCUGGUGCUGGUGCCGCCUCCUCCGGCUUCGGGUGCUCCGCAUGCGUCGCCAGCAGCACGUCCUCGCCGUCGAAGUACAAUGCCGCCGCCACAUGCGGAGGACGCUGACGAGCCGUCGUCGUUUUGGCCGAACAUCCGUCGAUUCCAUUUUCUUCUCUCCGGAUGGUGGGCGGCGUGCAGGAGCAGGCGGCGGAUCAACUCGCGGUGCCGGCGUGCCCAUAGGAUCCGGGUCCCCAUAGACUACGCUGCCCGAGCCAGGCUGAAUUCAUUCGCAUCGCACAUCUGGGUUCUGGAGUUCUCGAACCUCUCUAUUUGUUGUUGGUCAGGAGGUCUGGCUGCUGCUGCUGUUGCUGUAGCCUGUAGCCUGCGAGGCUAACGAUGUGAUGUUACGAAGUGAGAACAGAAACAGAGCGAAACGGUGAAGACUGUCUGGUAUAGCGUGUGGCAGUGGCGCAGUGACGCCACCAUGUCGCCAUUGCAGGCUAAACAGCGCAGGAGCACGAAUCAGGAGCGGCGUCUGAGACGAAGCAGCAGCAGCAGCACAGCAGGCCAGCAGUGGUGUAACGUCUUGUGAUGAAAAAGGCUUUUACGGGUCUGACACGUGAUUGUGCCGUCCGAUUUCAUUUCAUGUAUGCUCUCUUCAGUGAAGAAAAAUGCGAAUCUGUUUGUGUUCCAUUGCAGAUGAA
Brachypodium distachyon (stiff brome) is the source of this 957-nucleotide long non-coding RNA. RefSeq lists it as uncharacterized. Lineage: Eukaryota; Viridiplantae; Streptophyta; Magnoliopsida; Poales; Poaceae. The record is from RefSeq and is a predicted model, not a curated record. The transcript has 2 exons.